GGGUUGUGAGGUUAAGCGACUAAGCGUACACGGUGGAUGCCCUGGCAGUCAGAGGCGAUGAAGGACGUGCUAAUCUGCGAUAAGCGUCGGUAAGGUGAUAUGAACCGUUAUAACCGGCGAUUUCCGAAUGGGGAAACCCAGUGUGAUUCGUCACACUAUCAUUAACUGAAUCCAUAGGUUAAUGAGGCGAACCGGGGGAACUGAAACAUCUAAGUACCCCGAGGAAAAGAAAUCAACCGAGAUUCCCCCAGUAGCGGCGAGCGAACGGGGAGCAGCCCAGAGCCUGAAUCAGUGUGUGUGUUAGUGGAAGCGUCUGGAAAGGCGUGCGAUACAGGGUGACAGCCCCGUACACAAAAAUGCACAUAUUGUGAGCUCGAUGAGUAGGGCGGGACACGUGGUAUCCUGUCUGAAUAUGGGGGGACCAUCCUCCAAGGCUAAAUACUCCUGACUGACCGAUAGUGAACCAGUACCGUGAGGGAAAGGCGAAAAGAACCCCGGCGAGGGGAGUGAAAAAGAACCUGAAACCGUGUACGUACAAGCAGUGGGAGCACGCUUAGGCGUGUGACUGCGUACCUUUUGUAUAAUGGGUCAGCGACUUAUAUUCUGUAGCAAGGUUAACCGAAUAGGGGAGCCGAAGGGAAACCGAGUCUUAACUGGGCGUUAAGUUGCAGGGUAUAGACCCGAAACCCGGUGAUCUAGCCAUGGGCAGGUUGAAGGUUGGGUAACACUAACUGGAGGACCGAACCGACUAAUGUUGAAAAAUUAGCGGAUGACUUGUGGCUGGGGGUGAAAGGCCAAUCAAACCGGGAGAUAGCUGGUUCUCCCCGAAAGCUAUUUAGGUAGCGCCUCGUGAAUUCAUCUCCGGGGGUAGAGCACUGUUUCGGCAAGGGGGUCAUCCCGACUUACCAACCCGAUGCAAACUGCGAAUACCGGAGAAUGUUAUCACGGGAGACACACGGCGGGUGCUAACGUCCGUCGUGAAGAGGGAAACAACCCAGACCGCCAGCUAAGGUCCCAAAGUCAUGGUUAAGUGGGAAACGAUGUGGGAAGGCCCAGACAGCCAGGAUGUUGGCUUAGAAGCAGCCAUCAUUUAAAGAAAGCGUAAUAGCUCACUGGUCGAGUCGGCCUGCGCGGAAGAUGUAACGGGGCUAAACCAUGCACCGAAGCUGCGGCAGCGACACUAUGUGUUGUUGGGUAGGGGAGCGUUCUGUAAGCCUGUGAAGGUGUACUGUGAGGUAUGCUGGAGGUAUCAGAAGUGCGAAUGCUGACAUAAGUAACGAUAAAGCGGGUGAAAAGCCCGCUCGCCGGAAGACCAAGGGUUCCUGUCCAACGUUAAUCGGGGCAGGGUGAGUCGACUCCUAAGGCGAGGCCGAAAGGCGUAGUCGAUGGGAAACAGGUUAAUAUUCCUGUACUUGGUGUUACUGCGAAGGGGGGACGGAGAAGGCUAUGUUGGCCGGGCGACGGUUGUCCCGGUUUAAGCGUGUAGGCUGGUUUUCCAGGCAAAUCCGGAAAACUAAGGCUGAGGCGUGAUGACGAGGCACUACGGUGCUGAAGCAACAAAUGCCCUGCUUCCAGGAAAAGCCUCUAAGCAUCAGGUAACAUCAAAUCGUACCCCAAACCGACACAGGUGGUCAGGUAGAGAAUACCAAGGCGCUUGAGAGAACUCGGGUGAAGGAACUAGGCAAAAUGGUGCCGUAACUUCGGGAGAAGGCACGCUGAUAUGUAGGUGAAGUCCCUCGCGGAUGGAGCUGAAAUCAGUCGAAGAUACCAGCUGGCUGCAACUGUUUAUUAAAAACACAGCACUGUGCAAACACGAAAGUGGACGUAUACGGUGUGACGCCUGCCCGGUGCCGGAAGGUUAAUUGAUGGGGUCAGCGCAAGCGAAGCUCUUGAUCGAAGCCCCGGUAAACGGCGGCCGUAACUAUAACGGUCCUAAGGUAGCGAAAUUCCUUGUCGGGUAAGUUCCGACCUGCACGAAUGGCGUAAUGAUGGCCAGGCUGUCUCCACCCGAGACUCAGUGAAAUUGAACUCGCUGUGAAGAUGCAGUGUACCCGCGGCAAGACGGAAAGACCCCGUGAACCUUUACUAUAGCUUGACACUGAACAUUGAGCCUUGAUGUGUAGGAUAGGUGGGAGGCUUUGAAGUGUGGACGCCAGUCUGCAUGGAGCCGACCUUGAAAUACCACCCUUUAAUGUUUGAUGUUCUAACGUUGACCCGUAAUCCGGGUUGCGGACAGUGUCUGGUGGGUAGUUUGACUGGGGCGGUCUCCUCCUAAAGAGUAACGGAGGAGCACGAAGGUUGGCUAAUCCUGGUCGGACAUCAGGAGGUUAGUGCAAUGGCAUAAGCCAGCUUGACUGCGAGCGUGACGGCGCGAGCAGGUGCGAAAGCAGGUCAUAGUGAUCCGGUGGUUCUGAAUGGAAGGGCCAUCGCUCAACGGAUAAAAGGUACUCCGGGGAUAACAGGCUGAUACCGCCCAAGAGUUCAUAUCGACGGCGGUGUUUGGCACCUCGAUGUCGGCUCAUCACAUCCUGGGGCUGAAGUAGGUCCCAAGGGUAUGGCUGUUCGCCAUUUAAAGUGGUACGCGAGCUGGGUUUAGAACGUCGUGAGACAGUUCGGUCCCUAUCUGCCGUGGGCGCUGGAGAACUGAGGGGGGCUGCUCCUAGUACGAGAGGACCGGAGUGGACGCAUCACUGGUGUUCGGGUUGUCAUGCCAAUGGCACUGCCCGGUAGCUAAAUGCGGAAGAGAUAAGUGCUGAAAGCAUCUAAGCACGAAACUUGCCCCGAGAUGAGUUCUCCCUGACUCCUUGAGAGUCCUGAAGGAACGUUGAAGACGACGACGUUGAUAGGCCGGGUGUGUAAGCGCAGCGAUGCGUUGAGCUAACCGGUACUAAUGAACCGUGAGGCUU
Molecule: ribosomal RNA, 2906 nt
Filed under: Shigella dysenteriae
Lineage: Bacteria; Pseudomonadati; Pseudomonadota; Gammaproteobacteria; Enterobacterales; Enterobacteriaceae
Description: partial 23S ribosomal RNA
Rfam family: Bacterial large subunit ribosomal RNA
Source: RNAcentral